GGCUGCUCUGUCUGUGGAGUAGCCAUUCUUUUAUUCCUUUUUUUCUUAAUAAACUUGCUUUCACUUUGCACUGUGGACUUGCCCUGAAUUCUUUCUUGCGUGAGAUCCAAGAACCCUCUCUUGGAGUCUGGAUCAGGACCCCUGUCCUGUAACAUCUUCCUGGAGAUCAUGAAGGGACUAUAGUGAGAAAACCCUGACUCAAUGGCUACCUUUGGGUAAAUGUUGGGGUCCUGUAACAUCUUUCUGGCAAUGACAGAAGUGACUAUACUUCGGAAACCCCUGAUCCAACAAAAGCUAACUUUGGGUAAGUGGUGGGGUCUGGUAACAUCUUUCUCUCGAACCACAAAAGGGACAAUACUGAGGAGACCCUCCGACGCAAAGGAAAUAGACUGGAGCACUGAUUGGACAACUUUGGCUUGGCCCCCAGGGCAAUGGUGCUGCAAGCUGGAUCACUGGGGCCGCUCAGGGAAAGGGAAUCCAGAAGCCUGGCAUGCUGACAAAAGGAUAUUGCCUUUUCUCAAAACUCAAGAGUUAUGAAUGGACCUUACCAUACUGAUGCUUUCUCACUGAGCUCCUGUCUACUCUGAAUGCAAGAAACCCUCAUAGUUAGGCAGGAAUAUCAUAAUCGCUAUUCAGCCUGAAGAAGUUAAAGAAGAUGGAUCUUCAUCCCUCUGCAACUCUUACGAUUAAAGAGUUCUCUUAUAAAAGGGGGGGGGGGGGGGACAUGAGAGGUGUGUGAACCAGAGCAACUCCAUCUUAAAUAGGAGCUGGGUAAAAUGAGGCUGAAACCUACCAGGCUGCACUCCCAGACAGUUAAGGCAUUCUAAGUCACAGGAUGAGAUAGCAGGUCAGCACAAAAUAAAGGUCAUAACAACCUUACUGACAAAACAGGUUGCAGUAAAGGAGCCAGCCAAAACACACCCAAACCAAAAUGGCAACAAGAGUGACCUCUGGUCAUCCUCACUGCUACACUCCCACCAGUGCCAUGACAGUUUACAAAUGCCAUGGCAACAUCAGGAAGUAACCCUAUAUGGUCUAAAAAGGGGAGGCAUUAAUAAUCCACCCCUUGUUUAGCAUAUCAGCAAGAAAUAACCAUAAAAAUGGGCAACCAGCAGCCCCAAAGGGUUGGCUAUGGAACAGCCAUUCUUUCAUUUCUUUACUUUCUUAACAAACUUGCUUUCAUUUUGCACUGUGGGAUCACCCUGAAUUCUUUCUUGCAUGAGAUCCAAAAACCCUCUUGGGGUCUGGAUCAAGACCCCUGUCCUGUAACAAUCCCACUCUGUUCUCCCUGUUCUUUGUGCUCCAGUCACACUGACCUUCUUUUGUUCCCUGACCACAACAUGCUUCCUCCAGCAAUAAGGUGGCUGCCACACUGCUCCAUCUGCUGGGACCCUCCCCUGCCCCAAUGCCUCCUGUAUCACUUUCUUGGGGAAUUUCUCCCUGACUUCCAGGCAAAGCUCUCAUAAACAGUGUUCCUUUCCUUCAGAGCACUUAAUUCAGUUUUAAAGCAAACAUUAUUUAGUUUAACUAUCUGAAUUAAUUAUUUUAGUUAUUUGCCCACUUCCUUCAAUAGACUGUGGAAUUCCUGAAAGCGAGACCAUGCCUGGCUCUACUCACCACUGUAUACCCAGCAAAAUGCCUGGUAUAUAGCAAACACUCAAUAAAUAUUUGUUGAAUGCAUGAAUGAAUAGAAAUGAUAAGUGAAAUGAGCCAGUUACAAAGUGCUUUUACCCUUGAUAAUUUCUUCUUCCCCAACAAACUGUGCAUUUUUUAGUGCAGUGAUCACAUUUCUCUUGUUCUCCAUUUUAUCCUGAAUACUUAGGGUCUGAAACUCCAAAAACAUUUAUUAAAUGAAGGAAUGAAGGACUUAAGCUUCUGAGAUUAAGCAGAAUGCCAAGAGGAGAAGAAUGAGAAAAGCAUUUCUGACUACAGAAAUAGCAAAAGCACUUAUGGUAUUGAUGUUAAAAAGCUGCCAGUAAAAGAAUGUGAUGCCUUAGGAUAUAUGGGAGCACAGCUGGGAGUCAGAAUAGGAAGGGCCACUUCAGCUGUACUGUUUAGGUGAGUAGUUCUCAUGAUGACUCUAAGAAAUAUAAAGCAGAAGCAGCAACCCAGAAAUGGGAGAAGACACAGGUGGGCAUGCAGAUGGUAAAAAAGGGGACUAUCAAGAACAUACUGAAGAGUUCAAAUAACGAAGUUGUCUGGAAAUACAUAAUGUCAGGUCAAACACUGCCAAAUACUGUCCUAAGUCCACAGGGCAUCAGAAUAUCAUAGCAUAGUAAAAUUACUUGAGUCAUCAAAAAAGGACUAAAUUACACUACUACUGCUGAACUACUUACUAAUAUUGGUUGUGGUAGUAGCUGGCUGCGGUUACAGUAGUUAGGAGGAGCAGAAAUGAACAUUUAUUGAGCACUUGCUAUGUAUUUUCUCAUUUUAUUUUCAUUACUACCCUGUUAGAUAGUUUCCACCCUCAUUUUAUACAUGAGAAAAUCAUACUACAUGGGGCUUAAGUAAUUCAUUUAAAAUCAUCCUGCUAGUAGGCGUUAACACCAGAAUUAAAACCCAGCCUGUAGCUGUGAAUCUCACACUUUCAGCCACUAUGUUAUAUUCUGAUUAAGAAAGUACAGAAAGAUGUUAACACAAUUUAGAGAGCUCCUAUGAAGAAUAACUCAAAUGAAGUUUGGCCAGGCAUGGUGGCUCAGGCCUAUGAUUCUAGUACUUUGGGAGACUGAGGCAGGAUGAUUGCUUUAAGCCAGGAAUUCAAGACCACCCAAGGCAACAAAGCUCUUGCAAAAAAUUUGUGCCACUACAAAAAAUUUUAAAAAUUAGCCAAGUGUAGGGACAUGCACCUGUAGUUCUAGCUACUUGGGAGGCAAAGGUGGGAGGAUUACUUGAGCCCAGGAGUUCAAGGCUGCAGUGAACUGUAAUUGCACAACCGCACUCCAACCUGAGCAACAGAGUCUUAAAAUAAAUGAAUAAAAUGUGAUGCUUGAUGAGAUAAGCCCUCAAAUAGCUACAAAACCCACCAACUUUCCCUAAGCAGUCUAGAUGGCUGAGGUCCUAUCAAAAUGAUGCUAAUCCAGAGUUAUCUCCAAUGCAUGACUAUACCAUGUAUUGUUACACACUGGACUGUCUAAUGUAUAGUGGCCAUUAAAAAUGGGCAAAAGAUAAGAACAGCUCACCAAAGAAGACAAACGGUAACAAAUAAGCAUAUGAAGAUGCUCAACAUGAUGUAAUUAGGGAAUUACAAAUUAAAACAACGACAUACCACUACACACCUAUUAAAACAGCUAAAAUUGAAAAUACUGAUAAAAACCAAAUGCUGGUGAGGAUUUGGAGCAACAACUCUCAUUCCUCACUGGUGGGAAUGCCAAAUGGUAUGACCACUUUGGAAGACAGUUUGGCAGUGUCUUAUAUCAUAGGCUUACCAUACAAUUUGUCAAUCACACUCCUACAUAUUUGCCCAAAUGAGCUGAAAACUUACAUCCACAUAAAAAUCUGCACAUGAAUACUUACAGUGCCUUUAUUCAUAAUUCCCAAAAAUUAGAAGCAACCAAGAUAUCUUUCAAUAGAUGAAUGAAUAAAUGAACUGUGGUAAAUCCAUGCAGUCCAUUACUUAACAACAGUGAGAAAUAAGUGUAUCACACAAAGGAUGCUUAAAUGCAUACUGCUAAGUGAAAAAAGCUAGUCUGAAAAGGCUACAUAUGGUAUGAUUCCAACUAGAUGGCGUUCUGUAAAAUGCAAUACUACAGAGACAGAAAAAAGGCCAGUGGUUGCCAGCAGUGGUGGGUAGGGUUGAAUAGAUGGAGCACAGGACAUUUUUAGGGCAGUGAAGCCAUUCUGUAUGAUACAACCAUUAGAGCUGCACAAGAGUGAACCCUAAUGUAUAACUGCUGGCUUUUGUUAAUAAUAUUGGUUCAUCAACUUUAACAAAUGUACCACACUAAUGCAAGAUAUUAGUAACAGGAGUAAAAUGAGGGAUUGGAAGGAUAUGUAUGGGAACUCACUGUAUUUUCUGUGCAAAUUUUCUGUAAACCUAAAACUGCUCUAAAAAAUAGUCGAUUAAAAUUUUUUUAAAAAAACGAAGCAUAGCUCUCCCUCUCCCUCUCCCUCUCCCCACGGUCUCCCUCUCCCUCUCCCCACGGUCUCCCUCUCUUUCCACGGUCUCCCUCUGAUGCCCAGCCGAAGCUGGACUGUACUGCUGCCAUCUCAGCUCACUGCAACCUCCCUGCCUGAUUCUCCUGCCUCAGCCUGCAGAGUGCCUGCGACUGCAGGCGCACGCCGCCACACCUGACUGGUUUUUGUAUUUUUUUGGUGGAGACGGGGUUUCGCUGUGUUGGCCGGGCUGGUCUCCAGCUCCUAACCGCGAGUGAUCCGCCAGCCUCGGCCUCCCGAGGUGCUGGGAUUGCAGACGGAGUCUCGUUCACUCAGUGCUCAAUGGUGCCCAGGCUGGAGUGCAGUGGCGUGAUCUCGGCUCGUUACAACCUCCACCUCCCAGCCGCCUGCCUUGGCCUCCCAAAGUGCCGAGAUUGCAGCCUCUGCCGGGCCGCCACCCCGUCUGGGAAGUGAGGAGCGUCUCUGCCUGGCCGCCCAUCGUCUGGGAUGUGAGGAGCCCCUCUGCCUGGCUGCCCAGUCUGGAAAGUGAGGAGCAUCUCUGCCCGGCCGCCAUCCCAUCUAGGAAGUGAGGAGCGCCUCUUCCCGGCCGCCAUCCCAUCUAGGAAGUGAGGAGCGUCUCUGCCCGGCCGCCCAUCGUCUGAGAUGUGGGGAGCGCCUCUGCCCUGCCGCCCCGUCCGGGAUGUGAGGAGCGUCUCUGCCCGGCUGCCCCGUCUGAGAAAUGAGGAGACCCUCUGCCUGGCAACCGCCCCGUCUGAGAAGUGAGGAGCCCCUCCACCCAGCAGCCGUCCCGUCUGAGAAGUGAGGAGCCCCUCCGCCCGGCAGCCACCCCGUCUGAAAAGGGAGGACCUCACAGCUCACCCUUGAGGUGUGCCGCUGACUGAACCAUUUUCUAAGCCUAGGUGGCAUCUUGGUGAAAGGCUUUCUCUGCCACCAGAGCUUUGUGUCCACAACUUACUCAGGCAAAGUGGAGGGCAAUGUCAAUAAGAAUUUGAAAAAAUCAUUUUAUGUGUCAUACUAAAUUUACCUAAAGAAAUUUAAUAUACCUAAAGAAAAAUAAAAACUAACUGCUGACUGGAUCAUACUAACUCUGAAAAUGUGAAAGGGG
RNAcentral lists this long non-coding RNA (5218 nucleotides) under Homo sapiens (human). RNAcentral describes it as "PREDICTED lncRNA (TCONS_00262415)". The record is from RNAcentral. Lineage: Eukaryota; Metazoa; Chordata; Mammalia; Primates; Hominidae.